AGUGAACGCUGGCGGUAGGCCUAACACAUGCAAGUCGAACGGCAGCACAGUAAGAGCUUGCUCUUACGGGUGGCGAGUGGCGGACGGGUGAGGAAUACAUCGGAAUCUACUUUUUCGUGGGGGAUAACGUAGGGAAACUUACGCUAAUACCGCAUACGACCUACGGGUGAAAGCAGGGGAUCUUCGGACCUUGCGCGAUUGAAUGAGCCGAUGUCGGAUUAGCUAGUUGGCGGGGUAAAGUCCCACCAAGGCGACGAUCCGUAGCUAGUCUGAGAGGAUGAAAAGCCAAACUGGAAAUGAGAAAAGGUCCAGAAACCCAAGGGGGGGAGAAGGGGGGAAAAUUGGACAAUGGGGGGAAGCCUGAAGCAGCCAUGCCGCGGGGGGGAAGAAGGCCUUCGGGUUUUAAAAGCCUUUUUGUGGGGAAGAAAAGAGAAAAGGUAAAAACCCCACUGUUUGACGGGACCCAAAGAAAAAACACCGGCUAAAUUCGUG
This 492-nucleotide ribosomal RNA is filed under the name uncultured bacterium. RNAcentral's name for it is "partial 16S ribosomal RNA". It matches the Rfam family "Bacterial small subunit ribosomal RNA", at positions 29 to 507 of the family's 1533-position model. The record is from RNAcentral.